This 69-nucleotide non-coding RNA is filed under the name bacterium 1xD8-48. The record is from RNAcentral.
AGCCGAAACAGGGGGGACAGUUCCCUGUCUGCCGGAAAUGGUCAACCGGCACUGAUGAGGCAGACCGGA